GUGACUUGUACGUGCAUUGAGUCAUGAUGACGCGGUCAGCACGCGUUCGCUGGCGCUGUUCACCGCCAUAAGUUAACUGGGGCUGUUCACCGCCACAAGUUCGCUGGGACUUUUCACCGCCAUAAGUUAACUGAGGAUGUUCACCGCCACAAGUUCGCUGGGACUGUUCGCCACCACAAGUUCGCUGGGGCUGUUCACCGCCGUAAGUUCGGUGGGGCUGUUCACGGCUACAAGUUCACAGGGGCUAUUCAUCGCCACAAGUUUGCUAGGAGCUGUUUACCGCCACAAGUUCGCUGGGGUUGUUUGCCUCCAUAAAUUGGCUAGGGCUGCCGCCGACCUACACAAGACUACUGCUACCUGGAGGGUAGUCCGGGGGUCAACGCUCCCGCGGCCCGGUCCAUGACCAGGUCUCCCGGUGGAUUAAGGCCUAAUCAACCAGGCUGUUACUGCUGGCAGCACGUAGUCCAACGUAUGAACCACAGCCCGGCUGAUCCGGUACUGACUUGAGCAGCAGCAGUAGCAGUAAAAAUAGUGUCAUCAGCAACGGUAGCAGCAACAGGAGCAGCAACAGGAGCAGCAACAGGAGCAGCAAAUGGAGCAGCAACAACACAGACAUCAUGAGGCAUGUCGUUGACAUAUCUGAAGUAUGCUCAAAGCCUAUUCCCCUAAGGAAAAAGAAGAGAAGAUGUAAACUUGAGAGAGACGGUCCCUCUACAGGCGAAGACGAAGAAUCACUGAGCUUCUCAAGGGGGGCUAGACUAUCUGAAAUGCGGAAGAAAGCACUGCCUAGGGAAGGAGAAAAUAUUAAACAUAAGUUAAAUUAUUCAUACAGGAUCUAGGGGACACGGAGCUAAAAACAAGUAAUGAAAUUGAGAGAUGUCCAAAAUGUUUCUUUUCCCCUUUCAUGUGCCUUAAGAAUGUUUAUGGAGAAAGAGUCGAGACAUGGGUGUCAUCUCGCAGUCGCUAAAAACAUCGGAUAUAGCCCAACUAUCUUUCCUGCCUCAAACGAUGUAUUAUAUUUUUGUUAGUGGAUUAUAUCUCCUUCAACGUUAAUAGUGGGAUUUCACCUAACUUCAUUGGUGUUCCAGUACCAAUUGUCCUCAAUCUCUACUGGCAUAGAAUUCUCUUAUGUUUUAAUAAUCUCUCCUUAAGAUAAUGUGUAU
This is a long non-coding RNA of Cherax quadricarinatus, 1163 nucleotides long. RefSeq lists it as uncharacterized. Lineage: Eukaryota; Metazoa; Arthropoda; Malacostraca; Decapoda; Parastacidae. The record is from RefSeq and is a predicted model, not a curated record.